Molecule: ribosomal RNA, 611 nt
Filed under: uncultured Sulfurovum sp.
Lineage: Bacteria; Pseudomonadati; Campylobacterota; Epsilonproteobacteria; Campylobacterales; Sulfurovaceae
Description: bacterial SSU rRNA
Rfam family: Bacterial small subunit ribosomal RNA
Source: RNAcentral
GUGCCAGCCGCCGCGGUAAUACGGAGGGUGCAAGCGUUACUCGGAAUCACUGGGCGUAAAGCGCGCGCAGGCGGCCUUUUAAGUUGGAUGUGAAAGCCUAUGGCUCAACCAUAGAACUGCAUCCAAAACUAUUAGGCUAGAGUGUGGGAGAGGAAGAUGGAAUUAGUUGUGUAGGGGUAAAAUCCGUAGAGAUAACUAGGAAUACCAAAAGCGAAGGCAAUCUUCUGGAACAUUACUGACGCUGAGGCGCGAAAGCGUGGGGAGCAAACAGGAUUAGAUACCCUGGUAGUCCACGCCCUAAACGAUGAAUGUUAGUCGUCGGGUAGCUAGUCUAUUCGGUGAUGCAGCUAACGCAUUAAACAUUCCGCCUGGGGAGUACGGUCGCAAGAUUAAAACUCAAAGGAAUAGACGGGGACCCGCACAAGUGGUGGAGCAUGUGGUUUAAUUCGAAGAUACGCGAAGAACCUUACCUAGCCUUGACAUAUAUUAGAACUCAGCAGAGAUGCAGAGGUGCCUUCGGGAGCUUUUAUACAGGUGCUGCACGGCUGUCGUCAGCUCGUGUCNNGAGAUGUUGGGUUAAGUCCCGCAACGAGCGCAACCCUCGUCACUAG